UUAAUUCGAAGCAAUGCGAAGAACCUUACUUAAGCUCGACAUCCCAAUGACAUCUCCUUAAUCGGAGAGUUCCCUUCGGGGACAUUGGUGACAGGUGGUGCAUGGUUGUCGUCAGCUCGUGUCGUGAGAUGUUGGGUUAAGUCCCGCAACGAGCGCAACCCUUGUCUUUAGUUGCCAGCAUUAAGUUGGGCACUCUAGAGAGACUGCCAGGGAUAACCUGGAGGAAGGUGGGGAUGACGUCAAAUCAUCAUGCCCCUUAUGCUUAGGGCUACACACGUGCUACAAUGGGUAGUACAGAGGGUUGC
RNAcentral lists this ribosomal RNA (305 nucleotides) under Clostridioides difficile. RNAcentral's name for it is "bacterial SSU rRNA". It matches the Rfam family "Bacterial small subunit ribosomal RNA", at positions 946 to 1250 of the family's 1533-position model. The record is from RNAcentral. Lineage: Bacteria; Bacillati; Bacillota; Clostridia; Peptostreptococcales; Peptostreptococcaceae.